Molecule: long non-coding RNA, 1836 nt
Filed under: Homo sapiens (human)
Lineage: Eukaryota; Metazoa; Chordata; Mammalia; Primates; Hominidae
Description: HSALNT0039160
Source: RNAcentral
GUGAAGAUGAUCUUCCCUAGUAAUGGUUUGUCCAAUAGAACAUAAAACUGUGACGCUUGAAGAUAAACGUGACCUUGACCAGCCCUGAGGAACUUCAGGACUGAAUCCUGCAGUAGAAGCAAGAACAGGCUAUUGGGAGACUCUGGUCCUCAACUGCACAAAGAAGGGCCCAUAUCCUCAACUCUGCCACAGACCUCUUUGAUUCCAGUUGGAAGCCUGGAGAUUUCACUGCUGCUGAGGAGGGUUCCAGGGACUGGGAAACCUGAGCUGUGAGCUGAGCUUGGGUGAUCUGUUUCCAUCUGUGGUCUGGUGCUGAUGGUUUCCAAGGCAGGAAUCAAGUCAGUCCUUGAAGAGCUACAACAGAGCAAAAGUGCAGGUAAACAAAGCAACACGAAGGCUAAAUAAAAGUCAUUUCCCCAAGCAAAAUAAGGGUAGGGACCUUCAGAUGGACAGAUUAGCCUGGAUUAAGCAGAUGGAGAAGCCGAGGAUCAAGGAUCGGGCCAGGAGCCAAGGAAUACUGCCACCUCUAGAAGUUGGGAACGGCCCUCAGCUUACAGCCACUAAGAAAAGGGGGAUUUUGGCCCUCUAGCUGCAAGGAAUCUAAUUCCACUUGAAUUAACAAGGAACAUCCAGGCAGGAAUGUAGCCCUGACAACACCCUAAUUUAGGCCAGUCAGGCCCGGACAGACUUCUGACCCACGGAAUUCUAAAAUAAUUUGUGUUUCUUAAACCAUCAAAUUUGUUGUAAUUUGUUAUGGUAGCAACAGGAAUCAAAUAUACCUCUCUACUUUUACAAGAUAUUGUUGUCUGCAGCCUGUUUGAAGUCGGUGACUAAACACAGCUGGUUACUAUGGCAGGCCCAUUCUGAAGAGUUGCAGGACACCCUCGGGAGUACUUUGGUUUGAAGCCUCCUCAUCACCUCGGCUGCCGUUUCUGGGAUCUGGGUUGCAGUCUGAGGCUCAUUUUUCCAAUUCCCAAUACUUCCUACUGAUGAUAUUCUUGAGAGUCAGGCUUUAUCAAGAGAGAAAAAGGACUUUAAAAUUUUCAAACUCCUUUUUAAAUAUCAGAGAUUUUUUUGGCCUACUUUGAUUACAGGUCCUUACUUAUAAGUCUCUCCUUCCUAGGGAGAAAAUAGAAAGCUUUAAGAGACAGAUUACACUUUACCUGACAUUCAUUUUUGCAUGCCUUGUUAAACAUGAAAGAAUGUGUUAAGGCCAUUUUUUAUUGUUUAAUUUGUUGUUUUGACUUUGGGUGUGUGUGUUUGUGUCAAUUAUUUUUUAAUCUACUAGAACAUUCAUUAUCCUUUUUAUUUUGGAAAACAAGGGUGAGAAAGGUUACGUGAUCUGGAGGUAAAAAUACACCAUUAUGUAAAGUUGAAGUGUCAUCCCCUGAAUCCACAUUGCACAUCUAUAAAGUAGAAGAACUUGUCUUACUCCAGUGUUUAGUAUUCGUUAGGUUAAUGUUUUUCAAACAAGCUUGAUAGUAAGAAGCAUUUGAGACUUUUGUUUAAAAUACAUCCCCCUCUACCACUGAAAGUUUAAUUUGGUAAGUUUGUUUGGACAUACAGAUUCUGUAUUUCUAAGAAAUAUUUAGAUGGUUUUUAUCAGACUUGGAGGUCCUCUUAUUGAAAAUAAAAAAGUAGACAUGCUCACGAUGAAGUUUACCUUUUCUUUCUAUUCAUCUAUUUUAAAAAAUAUUUAUGAAAAAUGCUUGCCUGCUGCUUAGCUUGAUUUAAGAGAUAAACUGAUCAGACAGAAUGUCAAGCCAGCCAGCAUCUCCUGGUCUACACCAAAGCCUUUCCUACUUCUUUCAAACAGUGAAGGCACCAGGACAGAGU